This 448-nucleotide long non-coding RNA is filed under the name Fukomys damarensis (Damara mole-rat). Its description in RNAcentral is "lncRNA (ENSFDAG00000025064.1)". The record is from RNAcentral. Lineage: Eukaryota; Metazoa; Chordata; Mammalia; Rodentia; Bathyergidae.
CCCUGACAUUGGGAGUUUCAGAAUUUAUAUGGCCUUGGCUGAAAUGAAUAUGGAGCCCAAGAUGUAUGGAGAUGGUGUCAAAACCACAACAAAAAUAUAUUCAAGCACAGCUGAGGGCCACCACAUCUGGGAAAGUCUCCAGUGGUGAGAGACGGAGGCCCAAAGUGGGACCUCUGAGAGCCAGAGGCCAGGCUGAGCACAAGGGAGACAACAGGGUUACCAUGGCUGCCUGGAGAGUCAAGAGGAGACACAAAGGACACGGCUGCAUGGGACAAGAACUGCACUGGGCCUCUGUUCCAUGUGGAGACCAAGCAGGCUCACACUCACAUCCUCCUGGGACCCUGAGCAGCCCGGCAGCCCUGGACGGGGGUUAAAGGGGUCUGGGAGGGCACAGCACAGAAGUCAGAGAACAAGGAGCUGCUGGAGCCUGCAGCUUGUCCCCUCCCAG